Acanthosepion pharaonis is the source of this 109-nucleotide non-coding RNA. The record is from the annotation of a GenBank genome assembly. NCBI's taxonomy places the organism in Eukaryota, Metazoa, Mollusca, Cephalopoda, Sepiida, Sepiidae.
GCCUAUAUCAGGUUGAAACACCAGUUUUUCACAUGAUCACUGAAGUUAAGCAAUGUCAAAUCUGGUAAGUACUAAGAUGGGUGAAUACUUGGGAAUAUCAGGUGCUGCU